This 262-nucleotide ribosomal RNA is filed under the name uncultured bacterium. Its description in RNAcentral is "partial 16S ribosomal RNA". It matches the Rfam family "Bacterial small subunit ribosomal RNA", at positions 90 to 354 of the family's 1533-position model. The record is from RNAcentral.
ACUUAGUGGCGGACGGGUGAGUAACGCGUGGGUAACCUGGCCCAUACAGGGGGAUAACACUUAGAAAUAGGUGCUAAUACCGCAUAACAACAGAAAGCGCAUGCUUUUGUUUGAAAACCAAGGUGGUAUGGGAUGGACCCGCGUCUGAUUAGCUGGUUGGCGGGGUAAAGGCCCACCAAGGCAACGAUCAGUAGCCGGCCUGAGAGGGUGGACGGCCACAUUGGGACUGAGACACGGCCCAGACUCCUACGGAAGGCAGCAG